This 442-nucleotide ribosomal RNA is filed under the name uncultured bacterium. Its description in RNAcentral is "partial 16S ribosomal RNA". It matches the Rfam family "Bacterial small subunit ribosomal RNA", at positions 338 to 795 of the family's 1533-position model. The record is from RNAcentral.
CCUACGGGAGGCAGCAGUGGGGAAUAUUGGUCAAUGGGCGCAAGCCUGACCCAGCAACGCCGCGUGAAGGAAGAAGGCUCUCGGGUUUUAAAAUUCUUUUAAUAGGGAAGAAAAGAAGACGGUACCUCUUGAAUAAGCCACGGCUAACUACGUGCCAGCAGCCACGGUAAUACGUAGGUGGCAAGCGUUGUCCGGAUUUACUGGGUGUAAAGGGCGUGCAGACGGGAAGGAAAGUCAGAUGUGAAAUCCCGCGGCUCAACCGCGGAACUGCAUUUGAAACUGUGUGUCUUGAGUACCGGAGAGGUAAUCGGAAUUCAUGGUGUAGCGGUGAAAUGCGUAGAGAUAAGGAAGAACACCAGUGGCGAAGGCGGAUGACUGGACGGCAACUGACGGUGAGGCGCGAAAGCGUGGGGAGCAAACAGGAUUAGAUACCCUAGUAGUC